This is a long non-coding RNA of Thamnophis elegans (Western terrestrial garter snake), 2120 nucleotides long. RefSeq lists it as uncharacterized. The transcript has 6 exons. The record is from RefSeq and is a predicted model, not a curated record. NCBI's taxonomy places the organism in Eukaryota, Metazoa, Chordata, Lepidosauria, Squamata, Natricidae.
GGCCGGGCGGUCGAGUGCGCGUGCGCGUCUCCUUUUCCCGCUCUUUUUAACCGCCGCUUCGUCUCUGAGGCGAAAAGAAGCAGGUGGAAGGUGAGGCGUCGUCGAUACGGAGCGGAGCGAGGGGCUUCCCCGGGCUUUGAGGGGGUUCCUCCGUCCGCCGUCACUCGGUUUCCGCUGCUAGGAACGGGCUCUGCGCUUUCCCUUUCCUCUCAGGCGCUCGCAGCUUUCCCGGUUGGCUAGGAUAGGCGGCUGUUCAACAGGGAAAGAGGACAAAGGAGGUCCAGGCAGAAGAAGAACAUCGUGGCUUUAAAAUGUAAGGGACGGGUUUGGAGUAAACUCAGCAGCACUUUUUCAUGCGGCUGUUGACAAAAAUAAGAUUUGCCAGCAUGAUCACCAACAUCCAAUGACGGAUAUGGCACAAGAAGAAGGUACAUACUGUCAAAGUCUUUGAUCGCCAUGGUUAAAUGAAAAAUGAAAUUAUUUUACCAGGGAACUGCAUCAUUAUGAAUUGGAAUCAAGAUGGAGAUACUCUAGCAAUUAUUGUUGAUAAAUCCAGUGCUGUUUAUCUGUGGGAUGCCAAUACAAACAAAACCAGUUUGAUGGAUACUAGCAUGAGGAGAUUAAUUUUGACCAGGCGCCCCAAGAAAAUGUCAGUGCCGAUCGAGGCCACAAAGAAAACAGCACCAGCACAGAAGCAGAUUGACCUGCAAAGCAUGUGCUCUUCUCCUUUGCAUGGAAGAUGGCAGCUGGAAUGGCCCCACUUCCCUUCUCUUGGGACACCCAUACUUUUUAAUAAAAAGUCCUCCUGAGUGGGGAGUUACACUUGCAAAGUGAUAGGUUGGAGGGAGGUGCCUGAAAUGAUUCAAAUCGAGCACUCCUCCCAAGCGUAAGGCUUGAAUACUGACCGCAAGGUAAAGAUAGAGGAGGUGCCUACCUCGCCUAGAGGGAUGUCCUUAGGUUUAUGUGUACACCCAAAACUGACAGGAACACGUAUCUCCCAUCGGGAAGGUUGCUGGAAGCCUGGAUUUAGGCAUGUGAACGCCUGCUUUAGCCGGGAAUGAAAAAGCAAAAUGCACAGGAUUUAUGUAAAAGAAAAUGGACUAAAAUAUGGGAGGAUACUAUAGUAAUUUAAUUCAAUUUGAGAAAACAAAGGUACUUUCAACUGUAAUUAAAGAUAAAAUAAAGAAGCCUUAAAAGAGCUUGAAAAGUUCUUUUGGGAAAAAAAACGCUUUUCUUAAAAAGUUGUUAUUGGGGCUAUGAAUGUUUCUCGUUUAAAUUGAGAUUAUUUUACCAUCAUUAUAUAUGUUGGAUAUUGUAAUGUUUUGUUUAAAGGAAGAAAAGUUAAAAAGGUGAUUUAAUGAUGCUGUUUUGAUGAGCUAUAAGAAUCAUUUACCUAUGUUUACCAGCCAGAGGCUGAGAGGGAGACUCUUUAAUCCCUCUCCUUUCUGCUGCCCUUCUGACCUUUUUGCAACUACUAAACAUUUCUUCCCUCUAAACCUCUUUAUGAAAACUUACUGUUUUUCUAAUCACAGAUGCUAAUUAAGGGGAAGAAAUUGCAAACCCACAAUCCAGGAAAAGCCCGUUUCCUAACUCCAUCAUAUUGAUGGAAUUUUUGUGUUUGUCUUUGUGUUUGUAAAUUGCAUUAUAUGAGAUGAGGGAAAUGUAUGGAUAAACAUAGCUACCACCUUUACAGCUGUGAUUUUCAUAAAUUUAUAUGGUUGUAAGAAAGUGAAUGAUUUAUAGCUCUUUCGUGGAAAAGGGAGUUUAAGAAACAGCUGAGAUGAAAAAGGAAGGGAAAGCUUAUACUGCAUGUGAACAGAAAGAAUAGUUUUAAGAAAUGUGAUUCAGAAGAUCUGAAGCCCGCAUAUGGUGUGUAGCAAAAUUUAAGUGAUUUUGGCAUUUUAAUCUGGAUAUACCCAUAAUAAAGCCUUUGGAACUACAAAGUGAAGACUAGGUGUUGCUAAAUGUGUACUAAGCUUGUUUUCUUUUAAUCAAAUUAGCAGAUAACUAACCAAGUGCCACCCCCUAGAAAAAUCUGCUGGAGUACCCAUUUCUCUGCAGCCUGCUCCUAAAUGCACCUUCUUUGGAUUUGGGGAAUAAAUAUUUCUUCUUUCCUCACA